RNAcentral lists this transfer RNA (85 nucleotides) under Variovorax paradoxus S110. RNAcentral describes it as "tRNA-Leu (CAG) (tRNA-Leu-CAG-2-1)". It matches the Rfam family "tRNA". Rfam says of the family: Transfer RNA (tRNA) molecules are approximately 80 nucleotides in length. Their secondary structure includes four short double-helical elements and three loops (D, anti-codon, and T loops). Lineage: Bacteria; Pseudomonadati; Pseudomonadota; Betaproteobacteria; Burkholderiales; Comamonadaceae. The record is from RNAcentral.
CCCCCGAUGGCGGAAUCGGUAGACGCACCGGUCUCAGAAACCGGGGACGAAAGUCAUGCAAGUUCGAGGCUUGCUUGGGGGACCA